UUUAAAAAAUCUUUCAGAGAAGAAGUGUUUUUUCCUUCACUUCAGGAAUUCUACAUGAGGGAAUGUGUGGGAACAGAACUGGAUCACAGAGGCUCCAACAAGCUGCAUCCCCCUCUCCACACCCCACUAGGUCCUAAGACUCUUGAGGCACACAUCAGACUCCCAAAGUCAGGAAGUGGGGAUGUGAGCAGCACCAUACGGCAGUGACAGCGCCUUCUGCAAGAAGAGAAACUCUAAACCGAUUACAACAGUAUCAUUUCUGUGUUGAACCAUAAGUCACUGGAAACCCACUGCAACCAUGCUUCCAUAAUAGUAGCUGGAAUCUCCAAUUCUAGAAAGAAAAGGACCCCAGUGGAAAUCAGACUGUCCAACUCACCUGGCAGCCACUCCCAGAGCCCCUGGAACUCUGGCCCAAGACUCUCUGACUGACUCCUUCGCAGAUCUUCUCGACUUAGCAGCUGAAGACUGACGCUGCCCCAUCGCCUCGGAAGCCUCCUGGACCAUCACAGAUGCUUUAGGUAACUCUUACAGUGGAGGGUAAGUCCCUACCCUUCUUAAUCGAUACAGAGGCUACCAACUCCACAUUACCUUCUUUUCAAGGGCCUGUUUCCUUGCCUCUAUAACUGUUGUGGGUAUUGACGGCCAGGCUUCUACACCUCUUAAAACUCCCCAACUCUGGUGCCAACUUGGACAAUACUCUUUUACACACUGCUUUCCAGUUAUCCCCACCUGCCUAGCUCCCUUAUUAGGUCGAGACAUUUAAACUAAAUUACCUGCUUCCCUGACUAUUCCUGGGCUACAGCCACACCUCAUCGCCGUCUUUUCCCCCAGUUCAAAACCUCCUUUGCAUCCUGUCCUGUAUCUCCCCACCUUAAUCCACAAGUAUAGGAUACCUCUACUCCCUCCUUGGCAACAAAUGAUGCACCCCUUACCAUCCCAUUAAAACUUAAUCACCCUUACCCUGCUCAACGCCAAUAUCCCACCCCGGAGCACGCUUUAAAAGGAUUAAAGCCUGUUAUGACUCUCCUAUUACAGCAUGGCCUUUUAAAGUCUAUAAACUCUCUUUACGAUUGCCUCAUUUUACCCGUCCAAAAACCGGACAAGUCUUACAGGUUAGUUCAGGAUCUGUGCCUUAUCAACCAAAUUGUUUUGCCUAUCCACCCCGUGGUGCCAAACCCACAUACUCUCCUGUCCUAAAUACCUCCCUCCACAACCCAUUAUUCUGUUCUGGAUCUCAAACGUGCUUUCUUUACUAUUGCUUUGCACCCUUCAUCCCAGCCUCUCUUCACUUUCACUUGGACUGACCCUGACACCCAUCAGACUCAGCAAAUUACCUGGGCUGUACUGCUGCAAGGCUUCACAGACAGCCCCCAUUACUUCAGUCAAGCUCAAACUUCUUCCUCAUCUGUUACCUAUCUCGGCAUAAUUCUCAUGAAAACACACGUGCUCUCCCUGCUAAUCAUGUCCGGCCAAUCUCCCAAACCCCAAUCCCUUCUAUAAAACAACAACUCCUUUCCUUCUGAGGCAUGGUUGGAUAAUUCUCCUUUGGAUACCUUGUUUUGCCAUCCUAAAAAAACAUUACAUAAACUCACAAAAGGAAACCUAGCUGACCCCAUCGGUCCUAAAUCCUUUCCCGACUCCUCUUUCCUUUCCAUGAAGACAGCUUUAAAGACUGCCCCAAUACUAGCUCUCCCUGACUCAUCCCAACCCUUUUCAUUACACAUAGCUGAAGUGCAGGGCUGUGCAGUCUGAAUUCUUACACACGGACCGGGACUGCACCCUGUAGCCUUUUUGUCCAAACAACUUGACCUUACUAUUUUAGGCUGGCCAUCAUGUCUCCGUGCAGUGGCUGCUGCCGCCCUAAUAGUUUUAGAGGCCCUCAAAAUCACAAACUAUGCUCAACUCACUCUCUACGGUUCUCAUAAUUUCCAAAAUCUAUUUUCUUCCUCACACCUGACACAUAUACUUUCUGCUCCCCGGCUCCUUCAGCUGUACUCACUCUUUGUUGAGUCUCCCACAAUUACCAUUGUUCUGGCCCGGACUUCAAUCCGGCCUCCCACACCUCACCCCCAUGACUGUAUCCCUCUGAUCCACCUGACAUUCACUCCAUUUCCCCAUAUUUCCUUCUUUCCUGUUCUUCACCCUGAUCACACUUGGUUUAUUGAUGGCAGUUCCACCAGGCCUAAUUGCCACACAUCAGCAAAGGCAAGCUAUGCUAUAGUAUCUUCCACAUCUAUCAUUGAGGCUACUGCUCUGCCCCUCUCCACUACCUCUCAGCAAGCCGAACUCAUUAGCCUUAAUUCAGGCCCUCACUCUUGAAAAAGGACUAUGCGUCAAUAUUUAUACUGACCCCAUAUCCUGCACCACCAUUCUGUUUUAUGAGCUGAAAGGUUUCCUCACUACACAAGGGUCCUCCGUCAUUAAUGCCUCUUUAAUAAAAACUCUUCUCAAGGCCACUUCUAAAGAAAGCUGGAGUCAUUCACUGCAAAGGCCAUCAAAAGGCAUCAGAUCCCAUCGCUCAGGACAAUGCUUAUGCUGAUAAGGUAGCUACAAAAGCAGCUAGCGUUUCAACUUCUAUCCCUCACAGCAGUGUUUCUCCUUCUCAUCUGGUCACUCCCACCUACUCCCCCACUGAAACUUCCACCUAUCAAUCUGUUCCCACACAAGGCAAAUGGUUCUUGUACCAAGGAAAAUACCUCCUUCCAGCCUCACAGGCCCGUUCUAUUCUAUCGUUAUUUCAUAACCUCUUCCACAUUGGUUACAAGCUGCUAGCCCAUCUCUUAGAACCUCUCAUUUCCUUUCCAUCGUGGAAAUCUAUCGUCAAGGAAAUCACUUCUCAGUUGUUCCAUCUGCUAUUCUACUACUCCUCAAGGAUUG
Long non-coding RNA from Rhinopithecus roxellana (golden snub-nosed monkey), 2877 nucleotides. RefSeq lists it as uncharacterized. The transcript is spliced from 3 exons. The record is from RefSeq and is a predicted model, not a curated record. NCBI's taxonomy places the organism in Eukaryota, Metazoa, Chordata, Mammalia, Primates, Cercopithecidae.